CCUCACAUGGCGUAGUGGUAACGCGCCCCAACUAGAGAUCGGGGAGUCGUGAGUUCGAUUCUCACUGAGAAGA
Molecule: transfer RNA, 73 nt
Filed under: Aedes aegypti (yellow fever mosquito)
Lineage: Eukaryota; Metazoa; Arthropoda; Insecta; Diptera; Culicidae
Rfam family: tRNA
About the family: Transfer RNA (tRNA) molecules are approximately 80 nucleotides in length.
Source: Rfam by way of RNAcentral